AUGUGUUAUUUUAUGUCGAUUGUAUUUUUAACUAUUAUUUUAAGAAUACUAUACUUGAUGUCCAGAAUUGGUAGCGAAAAGGGUAGGAAUGGGCCUGAGAAACUGUACCAGUAUUUAGGCCCUAAAUAUUUAGACUCUAAAUACUUAGGAAAACUGAGGAAUUAUCACAUGGAUUAUGGUACUAAAAAGGGCUCUAUUAUCCUGUUGAAUUAUUUGUCCCAGUCUCUUUCCUCUUCCUUAUCUCACUGCACUAUUCCAUCUUCUAUUGCUCAACUUCAUAGAAACAAAGCGGUAGUAAAUGUCUCUCUUUUCUCAACUUCCCAGAUUAAUUUAACAUUUAUAUUUUAAAAAUAUUCUUAAUGAAUUGUGAAUAGCAUAUUUAAAAUCAGCAAGAAAUGAGGCAGUUAGGCCACUUACAUGGCUAUAAUGUAGAGGAAUAUGAUGAGAGCCUUUCCAAGGAAGGAAUUCAUUAGGAAUAGCAGAUAGAUCUGUCCUACGACCCAGCAAUUGCACUACUGGGGAUUUACCCCAAAGAUACAAAUGCAGUGAAACGCCGGGACACCUGCACCCUGAUGUUUAUAGCAGCAAUGGCCACAAUAGCCAAACUGUGGAAGGAGCCUCGGUGUCCAUUGAUGGGUGAAUGGAUAAAGAAGAUGUGGUUUAUGUAUACAAUGGAAUAUUACUCAGCCAUUAGAAAUGACAAAUUCCCACCAUUUGCUUCGACGUAGAUGGAGCUGGAGGGUAUUAUGUUGAAUGAAAUAAGUCAAUCGGAGAAGGACCAACAUUAUAUGGUCUCAUUCAUUUGGGGAAUAUAAAUAAUAGUGAAAGGGAAUAUAAGGGAAGGGAGAAGAAAUGGGUAGGAAAUAUCAGAAAGGGAGACAGAACAUGAAGACUGCUAACUCUGGGAAAUGAACUAGGGGUGGUGGAAGGGAAGGAGGGCGGGGGGUGGGGGUGAUUGGGUGGCGGGCACUGAGGGGGGACACUUGACGGGAUGAGCACUGGGUGUUAUUCUGUAUGUUGGCAAAUUGAACACCAUUAAAAAAUAAAUCUAUUAAAAAAAAAAAGAAAAAUGCUUCUCGUCCAGGAACGCUAGCAACACAGAACUAUAACAAAUUUGAAUAUAAACCUACUAUGAAUUUCAUGGAGAAAAUGAAUAUCCAAUUAAUUCCCUUUGCAAGUUAAAGUCCAGUGGCCAAAGGUUGAAAUCCAAAAUGGAAUUCUCUUUUAGGAGUGAAAAGUCCAAAGUCUUCUCCAGUGUCUUCCUCUGUUGAGUCUCAACUAGAGAUGUUGCCAAUAGAGAACUGGGUUUCUUCAACAGUCACCAUGGUAGCUGUGCCUGCCUGGAAUGGGUUUGGUUACUCAGGGUCUCCCACAUUCUCUCUCUCUCUCUCUCUCUCUCUCACACACACACAUACACACACACACACACACACACACACACACACAAACAACUUCUUAAGGAGACCAGAAUUAAUAAGACCUAAGAUUAUCACAGCACGUGCUCAAUCACAGUAGGUUUAGAAAGCAAAUUGCCAUCUUUAAAAAAAAAAAAUUUAAAUUCCAGUUAACAUACAGUGUAAUAUUAGUUUCAGGUAUACAAUUUAGCAAUUCCACAUUUACAUACAACACCCGGUGUUCACCACAGCAAGUGCACACCCUUACUACUCAUCACCUGUUUAACCCUUCUCACCACAUUCCCCCGUGAUAACCAUACAAAUUACCACCUUCUUGAGCAGUUACCUUAGGCCAAUUUGUGUUUUCAGAGCACAUGUCUUUUGCCAAGGAUCAAUAUAGGGACUCCUUGGUAUCUAAGGAUGUCAUCUUAGUGUUAUUUUAGCCAGGAUGUAAAUUGCAGUCAACUGUUCAUAAUCCACAGCUUGAAAAUAAACUGGAACUUUACUCUGAGAGGUCAAUUUUGGCACGGC
This 1925-nucleotide long non-coding RNA is filed under the name Canis lupus familiaris (dog). Its description in RNAcentral is "lncRNA (ENSCAFG00040025964.1)". Lineage: Eukaryota; Metazoa; Chordata; Mammalia; Carnivora; Canidae. The record is from RNAcentral.